Molecule: ribosomal RNA, 301 nt
Filed under: uncultured bacterium
Lineage: Bacteria
Description: partial 16S ribosomal RNA
Rfam family: Bacterial small subunit ribosomal RNA
Source: RNAcentral
CAGUCGCCGCGGGAAUACGGAGGGUGCAAGCGUUAAUCGGAAUUACUGGGCGUAAAGCGCACGCAGGCGGUCUGACAAGUCAGAUGUGAAAUCCCCGGGCUUAACCUGGGAACUGCAUUUGAAACUGUCAGGCUGGAGUCUUGUAGAGGGGGGUGGAAUUCCAGGUGUAGCGGUGAAAUGCGUAGAGAUCUGGAGGAAUACCGGUGGCGAAGGCGGCCCCCUGGACAAAGACUGACGCUCAGGUGCGAAAGCGUGGGGAGCAAACAGGAUUAGAUACCCGGGUAGUCCCGUCUCUUAUACA